Molecule: ribosomal RNA, 270 nt
Filed under: uncultured bacterium
Lineage: Bacteria
Description: partial 16S ribosomal RNA
Rfam family: Bacterial small subunit ribosomal RNA
Source: RNAcentral
UACGUAGGGGGCUAGCGUUGUCCGGAUUUAUUGGGCGUAAAGAGCGUGUAGGCGGCCAUGUAGGUCCGGUGUGAAAACUCGAGGCUUAACCUCGAGAUGUCAUCGGAAACCAUUUGGCUAGAGUCCGGAAGAGGAGAGUGGGAAUUCCUGGUGUAGCGGUGAAAUGCGCAGAUAUCAGGAGGAACACCGAUGGCGAAGGCAGCUCGCUGGGACGGUACUGACGCUGAGACGCGAAAGCGUGGGGGAGCAAACAGGAUUAGAUACCCGUGG